RNAcentral lists this non-coding RNA (256 nucleotides) under Pediculus humanus corporis (human body louse). Its description in RNAcentral is "Eukaryotic small subunit ribosomal RNA". It matches the Rfam family "Eukaryotic small subunit ribosomal RNA", at positions 1594 to 1831 of the family's 1831-position model. Lineage: Eukaryota; Metazoa; Arthropoda; Insecta; Psocodea; Pediculidae. The record is from Rfam by way of RNAcentral.
UUCCCGUGAACUAGGAUUCCCAGUAAGCGCGAGUCAUAAGCUCGCGUUGAUUACGUCCUGCCCUUUGUACACACCGCCCGUCGCUACUACCGAUCGAACGAUUUAGUGAGGUCUUUGGACUCGUGCGCGGUGUUUCGCUCGCGUUCGCGCGCGCGCGAUCCUUCGCAGUCGCGAGGAAGACGACCGAACUUAAUCGUUUAGAGGAAGUAAAAGUCGUAACAAGGUUUCCGUAGGUGAACCUGCGGAAGGAUCAUUA